This 253-nucleotide ribosomal RNA is filed under the name uncultured bacterium. RNAcentral describes it as "partial 16S ribosomal RNA". It matches the Rfam family "Bacterial small subunit ribosomal RNA", at positions 524 to 776 of the family's 1533-position model. The record is from RNAcentral.
UACGAAGGUCCCGAGCGUUAUCCGGAUUUAUUGGGUUUAAAGGGUGCGUAGGCGGGUUUUUAAGUCAGUGGUGAAAGCCUUCAGCUUAACUGAAGAAUGGCCAUUGAUACUGAAGAUCUUGAGUAUGAUUGAGGUGGGCGGAAUGUGUCAUGUAGCGGUGAAAUGCUUAGAUAUGACACAGAACACCGAUUGCGAAGGCAGCUCACUAAGCCAUAACUGACGCUGAUGCACGAAAGCGUGGGGAGCAAACAGG